Molecule: ribosomal RNA, 1945 nt
Filed under: human gut metagenome
Description: bacterial LSU rRNA
Rfam family: Bacterial large subunit ribosomal RNA
Source: RNAcentral
UUAAAGUAGUAAGGGCGCAGGGUGGAUGCCUUGGCACUAAGAGCCGAUGAAAGACGUGAUAAGCUGCGAAAAGCUUCGGGGAGGAGCACAUAUCCAAUGAUCCGGAGAUAUCUGAAUGGGGAAACCCGGCAGAGGAAACCUCUGUCAGCAUGUAGUGAAUCCAUAGCUGCAUGUGGGGAACCCGGGGAACUGAAACAUCUAAGUACCCGGAGGAAGAGAAAGAAAAUUUAUCGAUUUCCAAAGUAGCGGCGAGCGAAAUGGAAGGAGCCCAAACCGUGGUGCGUGCAUCACGGGGUUCGGACUGCGACAUGAGAGACGUAAGAUAGGAGAACGGACUGGGAAGUCCGGCCGGAGAGAGUGAAAGCCUCGUAUCCGAAAUCCCAAGUCAUCUAGCAGGAUCCAGAGUAGGACGAGACACGAGAAACCUUGUCUGAAGGAGCGGGGACCACCCCGUAAGGCUAAAUACUUCUUAGUGACCGAUAGCGCAUAGUACUGUGAAGGAAAGGUGAAAAGUACCCCGGGAGGGGAGUGAAAGAGAACCUGAAACCCUGUGUCUACAAGCUGUGGGACCUCUUUAUAUGAGGGACUGCGUACUUUUUGUAGAACGGUCCGGCGAGUUGUGCGUACUGGCGAGGUUAAGGACUUAAGGUCCGGAGCCGAAGUGAAAGCAAGCGUUAAGAGCGCGGUAAGUCAGUGAGUGCAGACCCGAAACCGGGUGACCUAUCCAUGUCCAGGUUGAAGCUUCCGUAAGAGGAAGUGGAGGACCGAACCCACAUCCGUUGAAAAGGGUGGGGAUGAGGUGUGGAUAGCGGAGAAAUUCCAAUCGAACCCGGAGAUAGCUGGUUCUCCUCGAAAUAGCUUUAGGGCUAGCCUCAUGAGAGUCUUAUGGAGGUAGAGCACUGAAUUGCCUAGGGGGCGUCAAAGCUUACCAAAGCAUAUCAAACUCCGAAUGCCAUCAAGAUGAUUCAUGGGAGUCAGACCAUACGAGAUAAGUUGGAUGGUCAAAAGGGAAAGAGCCCAGACCUACAGCUAAGGUCCCAAAGUGCGUGUUAAGUGGAAAAGGAUGUGGGGAUUCUAAGACAACUAGGACGUUGGCUUAGAAGCAGCCAUUCAUUGAAAGAGUGCGUAAUAGCUCACUAGUCGAGAGUCCCUGCGCCGAAAAUGUCCGGGGCUGAAACACGACACCGAAGCUUAGGAAUGUGUAAACAUUGGUAGAGGAGCAUUGCUAGCGGGAUGAAGCCAUACCGUAAGGAGUGGUGGACUGCUAGGAAGAGAGAAUGCCGGAAUGAGUAGCGAGAUGAAGGUGAGAAUCCUUCAGGCCGAAUAUCUAAGGUUUCCAGAGUAAAGCUGAUCUGCUCUGGGUAAGUCGGGACCUAAGGCGAGGUCGAAAGACGUAGUCGAUGGAUAACAGGUUGAAAUUCCUGUACCGCAUAUAAACAGAACUGUGGGGACACAGACAGGGAAUGGAAUCCGGGAGUGGAUAUCCCGGUGCAAGCGAGGUAGGAGUGCUGUUGGCAAAUCCGCAGCACGAUCUGAAGACGUGACGCGUACCGAACAUAAGUAGGGAAGUCCAGGCCCCUGGCUGUCAAGAAAAGCCGCUAUUGUUUUAUAUGUGCCCGUACCGCAAACCGACACAGGUGGAUGAGGAGAGAAUCCUAAGGCCGACGGGAGAAGUAUUGUUAAGGAACUCGGCAAAAUGACUCCGUAACUUCGGGAGAAGGAGUGCCAUGAGAGUGGCCGCAGAGAAAUGGCCCAAGCAACUGUUUAGCAAAAACACAGGUCUAUGCAAAACCGCAAGGUGAAGUAUAUGGGCUGACGCCUGCCCGGUGCUGGAAGGUUAAGGGGAGAGGUUAGCGCAAGCGAAGCUUUGAACUUAAGCCCCAGUAAACGGCGGCCGUAACUAUAACGGUCCUAAGGUAGCGAAAUUCCUUGUCGGGUAAGUUCC